GGCCUCAUGCUGAAAUUGGUAGACAGUCACGACUUAAAAUCGUGUGGGUUUUCCCGUCCCAGUUCGAGUCUGGGUGAGGCCACCA
This 85-nucleotide transfer RNA is filed under the name Candidatus Pelagibacter sp. RNAcentral's name for it is "tRNA-Leu". The record is from RNAcentral. Lineage: Bacteria; Pseudomonadati; Pseudomonadota; Alphaproteobacteria; Candidatus Pelagibacterales; Candidatus Pelagibacteraceae.